GUGAGCGGCAAGAGCUCAGAUUUGAAAUCGUGCUUUGCGGCACGAGUUGUAAUUGCAGGUUGGAGUCUGUGUGGAAGGCGGUGUCCAAGUCCCUUGGAACAGGGCGCCCAGGAGGGUGAGAGCCCCGUGGGAUGCCGGCGGAAGCAGUGAGGCCCUUCUGACGAGUCGAGUUGUUUGGGAAUGCAGCUCCAAGCGGGUGGUAAAUUCCAUCUAAGGCUAAAUACUGGCGAGAGACCGAUAGCGAACAAGUACUGUGAAGGAAAGAUGAAAAGCACUUUGAAAAGAGAGUGAAACAGCACGUGAAAUUGUUGAAAGGGAAGGGUAUUGCGCCCGACAUGGGGAUUGCGCACCGCUGCCUCUCGUGGGCGGCGCUCUGGGCUUUCCCUGGGCCAGCAUCGGUUCUUGCUGCAGGAGAAGGGGUUCUGGAACGUGGCUCUUCGGAGGGGUGGGGGGCGGGGCCAGAUGCUGCGUGCGGGGACCGAGGACUGCGGCCGUGUAGGUCACGGGAUGCUGGCAGAACGGCGCAACACCGCCCGUCUUGAAACACAG
This 549-nucleotide ribosomal RNA is filed under the name Pichia kudriavzevii. Its description in RNAcentral is "eukaryotic LSU rRNA". It matches the Rfam family "Eukaryotic large subunit ribosomal RNA", at positions 93 to 664 of the family's 3401-position model. Lineage: Eukaryota; Fungi; Ascomycota; Pichiomycetes; Pichiales; Pichiaceae. The record is from RNAcentral.